GACGAACGCUGGCGGCGUGCUUAACACAUGCAAGUCGAACGGAAAGGCCCUGCUUUUGUGGGGUGCUCGAGUGGCGAACGGGUGAGUAACACGUGAGUAACCUGCCCUUGACUUUGGGAUAACUUCAGGAAACUGGGGCUAAUACCGGAUAGGAGCUCCUGCUGCAUGGUGGGGGUUGGAAAGUUUCGGCGGUUGGGGAUGGACUCGCGGCUUAUCAGCUUGUUGGUGGGGUAGUGGCUUACCAAGGCUUUGACGGGUAGCCGGCCUGAGAGGGUGACCGGCCACAUUGGGACUGAGAUACGGCCCAGACUCCUACGGGAGGCAGCAGUGGGGAAUAUUGCACAAUGGGCGGAAGCCUGAUGCAGCAACGCCGCGUGCGGGAUGACGGCCUUCGGGUUGUAAACCGCUUUCGCCUGUGACGAAGCGUGAGUGACGGUAAUGGGUAAAGAAGCACCGGCUAACUACGUGCCAGCAGCCGCGGUGAUACGUAGGGUGCGAGCGUUGUCCGGAUUUAUUGGGCGUAAAGGGCUCGUAGGUGGUUGAUCGCGUCGGAAGUGUAAUCUUGGGGCUUAACCCUGAGCGUGCUUUCGAUACGGGUUGACUUGAGGAAGGUAGGGGAGAAUGGAAUUCCUGGUGGAGCGGUGGAAUGCGCAGAUAUCAGGAGGAACACCAGUGGCGAAGGCGGUUCUCUGGGCCUUUCCUGACGCUGAGGAGCGAAAGCGUGGGGAGCGAACAGGCUUAGAUACCCUGGUAGUCCACGCUGUAAACGGUGGGUACUAGGUGUGGGGUCCAUUCCACGGGUUCCGUGCCGUAGCUAACGCUUUAAGUACCCCGCCUGGGGAGUACGGCCGCAAGGCUAAAACUCAAAGGAAUUGACGGGGCCCCGCACAAGCGGCGGAGCAUGCGGAUUAAUUCGAUGCAACGCGUAGAACCUUACCUGGGUUUGACAUGGAUCGGGAGCGCUCAGAGAUGGGUGUGCCUCUUUUGGGGUCGGUUCACAGGUGGUGCAUGGCUGUCGUCAGCCCGUGUCGUGAGAUGUUGGGUUAAGUCCCGCAACGAGCGCAACCCUUGUUCACUGUUGCCAGCACGUUAUGGUGGGGACUCAGUGGAGACCGCCGGGGUCAACUCGGAGGAAGGUGGGGAUGACGUCAAGUCAUCAUGCCCCUUACGUCCAGGGCUUCACGCAUGCUACAAUGGCUGGUACAGAGAGUGGCGAGCCUGUGAGGGUGAGCGAAUCUCGGAAAGCCGGUCUCAGUUCGGAUUGGGGUCUGCAACUCGACCUCAUGAAGUCGGAGUCGCUAGUAAUCGCAGAUCAGCAACGCUGCGGUGAAUACGUUCCCGGG
RNAcentral lists this ribosomal RNA (1343 nucleotides) under uncultured bacterium. RNAcentral's name for it is "16S ribosomal RNA". It matches the Rfam family "Bacterial small subunit ribosomal RNA", at positions 28 to 1378 of the family's 1533-position model. The record is from RNAcentral.